Daphnia carinata is the source of this 1367-nucleotide long non-coding RNA. RefSeq lists it as uncharacterized. NCBI's taxonomy places the organism in Eukaryota, Metazoa, Arthropoda, Branchiopoda, Diplostraca, Daphniidae. The transcript is spliced from 4 exons. The record is from RefSeq and is a predicted model, not a curated record.
AGCAACCAUUUGCUUCAUGUUACCAAAGUGCAAGAAAGGGGACGGCAAAUCCGACGGGGAUGACAUGACAGUGGAUGCCAUAUCUACGAGGACAACAUCGUUUACUUAUUCCGUCGUGGAUGUCGGUGAGUUUCCAUGAUUAACUAUUUCUCAGCCCGAAUCUCCAGCCGAGUCCGGCCACACCUCGAAAUGCUGCCCGAAUCUAUUGAUGAAUCGACGGAAAGCUGCGUGAACAAUACAUUCCAGAAGCUGUGACAUGCGAUGAAAAGGAACUGUUUAAGGGGAUCGUCUGUGGGGAACACUUUAACAAUUUUGAUAAAGUCGUCCUCCAGGUUACAGAAAAAAAUGUACCUCGAUAAAUAACAUCAUUCGAAGAAGCCGGCCUGCGCCCACUACUACUUCAAAACAUUAAGAUUGCUGGCUACAUAAAAUCAACACCUAUACAGAAAGCUUCAGUUGCAGAUAUUCUUGCCAAAAGAGAUUUGAUUACUUGUGCUGUCACGGGCUCCGGCAAAACGGUAAUCCAAUUAAUGAACGCUGUGUAAUUUUGAAACCUUGAUGCCUUCGUACUAACUUGAUUCGAAUGGGUCGAUAUGAACUGGGUAAGUUGAGGUAAAAGUAAUUUUGAGUGGGCACGUCUGUGAUUGCGACUACGAAAAGGUCCAAUUGCAUUUAAGAUACUCAAGAAACCCUUCGUGACAUUCGUUGAUUAAGUCAUCUAAAAUUUCACAUUUUUUCAUAUAGGCGGCGUACUUGGUACCGUUUAUGAACAUAUUGUUAGAACAAGGUGUUUCUGGUGCAUCCCCGCCAUGGUUCAAAAGCCAGAAGUUGUAAUUGUCGCACGCACUCGUGAAUUUUCGAUUCAAAUUCACCGCGGGGCGUGUAAAUUCUCCUACAAUUCGGUUUUAAAAUCUGUCAUAUAUCAAGGAACUGUCACGAGCCAUCAUCGGUCAAAUCUUCAAGCUGGGUGCAAUACUCUUGUCGCGACCGCGGGGCGACUCGAGGAUUUUCUCAAUUAGUGUCACGUCAGGUAAUCUAUGGUAACACAGAUUCCGUAAUGGUGAAAUUCGGUGUACCCACGGUGGCCGAAGCCAUGGAAUUAGGCCGAGAAGCUGCCGCAUUUGUGUCGGCAAAAUUUGUCAAACCCAUUAAUUUGGAAUUCGAAAAAGUCUAUUACCCCUAUUUAUUGAUCAACGAAAAGAGGUAUCCAGGAUUGUAUUGGACCAAACCUGAAAAGUUUGACAAAAUGGAUUGUAAGGGUUUAGAAACUGUUCGUCGUGAUAAUUGUCAACUCGUUGCCAAUCUUAUCAAUAGCUGGUCUGCAGAAAAGUUUGAUUGAUCGAGAUCCGGGUGGAGCACUAGAAUAC